AUCCUCUGUGUCCAGGUUAUAAAUAUUAUGUCUGUGGAUCUGUUUACAGACAACUGUCAGUUUGGCCAUGUGUGUAUGGAUCUGUUUACAGAUGUGUGUCGAGGUAGCCAUGUUAUGUGUGGAUCUGUUUACAGACGUGUGUCAAGGUGGCCAUGCUGUGUGUGGAUCUGUUUACAGACGUGUCGAGGUAGCCAUGUUAUGUGUGGAUCUGUUUACAAACAUGUGUCAAGGUGGCCAUGUUGUGUGUGGAUCUGUUUACAGACAUGUGUCAAGGUGGCCAUGUUGUGUGUAGAUCUGUUUACAAACAUGUGUCAAGGUGGCCAUGUUAUGUGUGGAUCUGUUUACAAAUGUGCGUCAAACUGGCCAUGUUGUGUGUUGAUCUGUUUACAGACGUGUGUCAAGGUGGCCAUGUUGUGUGUUGAUCUGUUUACAGACGUGUGUCAAGGUGGCCAUGUUGUGUGUGUAUCUGUUUACAGACGUGUGUCAAGGUGGCCAUGUUAUGUGUUGAUCUGUUUACAGACGUGUGUCAAGGUGGCCAUGUUGUGUGUGUAUCUGUUUACAGACGUGUGUCAAGGUGGCCAUGUUGUGUGUGUAUCUGUU
This is a long non-coding RNA of Haliotis rubra (blacklip abalone), 600 nucleotides long. RefSeq lists it as uncharacterized. The record is from RefSeq and is a predicted model, not a curated record. The transcript is spliced from 3 exons. NCBI's taxonomy places the organism in Eukaryota, Metazoa, Mollusca, Gastropoda, Lepetellida, Haliotidae.